Molecule: ribosomal RNA, 456 nt
Filed under: uncultured bacterium
Lineage: Bacteria
Description: bacterial SSU rRNA
Rfam family: Bacterial small subunit ribosomal RNA
Source: RNAcentral
UCAGGAUGAACGCUGGCGGCGUGCCUAACACAUGCAAGUCGAGCGAUUUACUUCGGUAAAGAGCGGCGGACGGGUGAGUAACGCGUGGGUAACCUGCCCUGUACACACGGAUAACAUACCGAAAGGUAUGCUAAUACGAGAUAAUAUACUUUUACCUCAUGGUAGAAGUAUCAAAGCUCUGGCGGUACAGGAUGGACCCGCGUCUGAUUAGCUAGUUGGUAAGGUAACGGCUUACCAAGGCGACGAUCAGUAGCCGACCUGAGAGGGUGAUCGGCCACAUUGGAACUGAGACACGGUCCAAACUCCUACGGGAGGCAGCAGUGGGGAAUAUUGCACAAUGGGCGAAAGCCUGAUGCAGCAACGCCGCGUGAGCGAUGAAGGCCUUCGGGUCGUAAAGCUCUGUCCUCAAGGAAGAUAAUGACGGUACUUGAGGAGGAAGCCCCGGCUAACUACGUG